GGUGGGAUACCCAAGCGGUCAACGGGGGCAGACUGUAAAUCUGCUGGCUUACGCCUUCACUGGUUCGAAUCCAGUUCCCACCACCA
Molecule: transfer RNA, 86 nt
Filed under: Verrucomicrobiota bacterium
Lineage: Bacteria; Pseudomonadati; Verrucomicrobiota
Also listed under: 3 other names
Description: Verrucomicrobia bacterium (anaerobic digester metagenome) tRNA-Tyr
Rfam family: tRNA
About the family: Transfer RNA (tRNA) molecules are approximately 80 nucleotides in length. Their secondary structure includes four short double-helical elements and three loops (D, anti-codon, and T loops).
Source: RNAcentral